Molecule: transfer RNA, 75 nt
Filed under: Micromonospora costi
Lineage: Bacteria; Bacillati; Actinomycetota; Actinomycetes; Micromonosporales; Micromonosporaceae
Description: tRNA-Thr
Rfam family: tRNA
About the family: Transfer RNA (tRNA) molecules are approximately 80 nucleotides in length.
Source: RNAcentral
GCCGGCGUAGCUCAGCGGCAGAGCAACUGCCUUGUAAGCAGCGUCGCGCCGGUUCGACUCCGGCCGCCGGCUCCA